RNAcentral lists this ribosomal RNA (274 nucleotides) under uncultured bacterium. Its description in RNAcentral is "partial 16S ribosomal RNA". It matches the Rfam family "Bacterial small subunit ribosomal RNA", at positions 523 to 796 of the family's 1533-position model. The record is from RNAcentral.
AUACGGAGGGUGCAAGCGUUAUUCGGAAUCACUGGGCGUAAAGGACGCGUAGGCGGGUUUGUAAGUCAGGUUUGAAAUCCUACAGCUUAACUGUAGAACUGCACUUGAAACUACAGACCUAGAGUAUGGGAGGGGCAGAUGGAAUUAGUGGUGUAGGGGUAAAAUCCGUAGAUAUCACUAGGAAUACCGAAAGCGAAGGCGAUCUGCUGGAACAUAACUGACGCUAAGGCGUGAAAGCGUGGGGAGCAAACAGGAUUAGAAACCCUAGUAGUCC